This 120-nucleotide ribosomal RNA is filed under the name Petromyzon marinus (sea lamprey). Lineage: Eukaryota; Metazoa; Chordata; Hyperoartia; Petromyzontiformes; Petromyzontidae. The record is from RNAcentral.
GCCUCUCGCUAAAUCAUCUCAAAUGUACCAGAUCUCAUCAGUUCUUGGAAGUUAAGCAGGAAAGAGCCUGGAUAGUGCUUGCAUAAGCAACUACUGUGCAUAAAACAGGUGUUAUAGACU